AGCCAGUGUGGUCUAGUGGUUAGAGUGUCAGGCCAGGAACUGGGAGACCAGGGUUUGAAUCCCUGCUUGGUCA
Non-coding RNA from Podarcis lilfordi (Lilford's wall lizard), 73 nucleotides. Lineage: Eukaryota; Metazoa; Chordata; Lepidosauria; Squamata; Lacertidae. The record is from the annotation of a GenBank genome assembly.